Molecule: non-coding RNA, 528 nt
Filed under: Lottia gigantea (owl limpet)
Lineage: Eukaryota; Metazoa; Mollusca; Gastropoda; Lottiidae
Description: Eukaryotic large subunit ribosomal RNA
Rfam family: Eukaryotic large subunit ribosomal RNA
Source: Rfam by way of RNAcentral
UCCCUCCGAAGUUUCCCCCAGGAUAGCUGGCGCUCGCCGAGACAGUUUCGUCCGGUAAAGCGAAUGAUUAGAGGAGUCCGUGCCGAAAUGGCGUGGAGCUAUUGUCAAACUUUGAACGGGCGAGAAGGGGUGCCUACCGCUCGAUCUGGGAGGCUCGGCCCCCGUCGAAAUGUACGAGUGCCAAGUGGGCCACUUUUGGUAAGCAGAACUGGCGCUGUGGGAUGAACCAAACGCCGGGUUAAGGCGCCCGAUCGUCACGCUCAGCAGAACCCACAAAAGGCGUCCAUCGAAGACAGCAGGACGGUGACCAUGGAAGUCGGUAUCCGCCAAGGAGUGUGUAACAACUCACCUGCCGAAUUGGUGGGCCCUGAAAAUGGAUGGCGCUGUAGCGUGCAGCCUACACCCGGCCGUCUCGGCAAUUUUCUCCGGCCUGCCGGUAGAGACUGACCGAAGCCGAGACGAGUAGGAGGGUCGCCGCGGUCAGCGCUGAAGCCUUAGACGCGAGUCUGGGUGUAGCGGCCGCGGGUG